Long non-coding RNA from Pseudophryne corroboree (corroboree frog), 458 nucleotides. RefSeq lists it as uncharacterized. Lineage: Eukaryota; Metazoa; Chordata; Amphibia; Anura; Myobatrachidae. The transcript has 3 exons. The record is from RefSeq and is a predicted model, not a curated record.
UUGCUUUUGGGAGAAAUAUCCCUGGUUUAAUUUAUUUUCUGGGUGUGCUACUGAACACCAAGUCUUUAUUUUUUUUGGAGCAGAAAAAAUGUACGCUCCUGCAUGUGUUAUGUCAAUAUUUAUUGCUGCAGAAGCCCUACCUCCCCAACCCACGCCAGCACUCCCACCCCAACCGCCAGCCCCACAACCACAGCCGGCUCCUCAUCAACCAAGGCAACGGAGGCGUGCUAGGCCACCAAUUUUCCGAACCCGUGUCCUACUUUUUGGUAUGCCAGAUGAUGUGGUGGUGCGUAGAUACAGGCUGCCACCACAUCUAAUCCUAGACACUCUCUCCAUAAUAGAGAGUGAUCUGGAGUCUGAAAUUCGGUAUCCUACAGCAAUACCACCAUUGACACAAUUCCUUGCAGUGUUACAUUUUUUGGCUACAGCCUCAUAUCAGCAUGUUGUGGGAGACCUGG